UUGUUGCUAGUCUGGAAAGGUACUCUCCCC
RNAcentral lists this non-coding RNA (30 nucleotides) under Homo sapiens (human). The record is from RNAcentral. Lineage: Eukaryota; Metazoa; Chordata; Mammalia; Primates; Hominidae.